Zingiber officinale is the source of this 1190-nucleotide long non-coding RNA. RefSeq lists it as uncharacterized. The transcript is spliced from 4 exons. The record is from RefSeq and is a predicted model, not a curated record. NCBI's taxonomy places the organism in Eukaryota, Viridiplantae, Streptophyta, Magnoliopsida, Zingiberales, Zingiberaceae.
UUCCCCAAUUCACCCCAAAACCUUUGUCUUACUUUCACCGUCGAUUACGCCGCCGGCCCUAUUUCGCGUCGAAAUUCCUAGAUCCCCUCCGCCUACCUCAUUUCUCAUUUUGUGGGGUUCAGAAGGAGCGGCUGGUGCAGGAGGAUAUGUGCGUCAUGUCUGGGAGUGGCGCCGUGAUAUCUGCCCCAUCGACCAAACCCUACCCACACAUGCCUUUCAAGUGCACUGACUGCGCUCCCCUCUUUCACGAAGGGAUAUCUAAUGCGCAAUGCUGGGGCUUGUAUUCACAGUCAUGGACUGGAGUCUUGUCUCAUAACGAUGGUCAAUCCUUUGGUAAAGGAGUUCUGACAACAAAGGAGAGCCACACAGUUGCACUGAAAUUUCAUUGUCAGUUGGAGUCGUUUAACCAUCGCAAAUCUUGUUAGUAACCGAUGUCUAAGAAAGCCGUUGCAGCAAAGGCAGCUGGGCGUGAUGCGCAUAUAUGUUGGUCCCCUUCCAGAGAACCAUGGUUUCAAAAUUAUUUGAUUGCAGAAAUAUAAAUGGAGACGAACUAUCCCACCUUCAGUUUGGUAAAUUAUGACUACUUUAGAGCUCCUAAUUGUUGAUAUUGCUAAAUUAUCCUUGUGGUUUGAACUAACAAGAACAUGUUCAUGUCAUGGGCCUUUGUGCUACUGUGGGCAGAAAAAAGAGUAGGUUUUGCCCAUGCCAAUUACACUGCUCUUUUCAUCCAUUCAUUGUGCAAUAGGUGAAUUGUGGUGUGAGAUAUGGACCUUGAUAUUCCUCUUAGUUUUGUUAGGAAAGUUUGUUUGCGCGCGACAACCACAAAGGAGUUUCAUUGUGGCUUGACGUUACAGAUGAUAGUUUCAGGCCUUCUGAUAAGGAGCUGCAACAAUAAUCUGGCACGAUUGGGGUUGUUCAGGGGGGAAGAAGCUACUGUGCAGGACCAGGUUUGUGUCUAGAUCUUAUGUUGCACCGCACCAUCGAUCUCGCGUGGCUAGGUUUGAAACAAUUUGUCGAUUGCCGGCUAAUCCUGUGGUACAGCAGGCUGCAGGGGACUUUCACAUAAGAACACAAUGCAAGGCCUUCACAUUAAACACAUCCAUUGAUGUCUUGUAUUUUAUGAAUAAUAUUUUGCUUCUCUAUUUUCCUUUCAAGUAAACGUAAGAUUCGUUUUAUGAGUAGUUACUUCA